GACGAACGCUGGCGGCGUGCCUAAUACAUGCAAGUAGAACGCUGAAGGAGGAGCUUGCUUCUCUGGAUGAGUUGCGAACGGGUGAGUAACGCGUAGGUAACCUGCCUGGUAGCGGGGGAUAACUAUUGGAAACGAUAGCUAAUACCGCAUAAUAGUAGAUGUUGCAUGAUAUUUGCUUAAAAGGUGCAAUUGCAUCACUACCAGAUGGACCUGCGUUGUAUUAGCUAGUUGGUGGGGUAACGGCUCACCAAGGCGACGAUACAUAGCCGACCUGAGAGGGUGAUCGGCCACACUGGGACUGAGACACGGCCCAGACUCCUACGGGAGGCAGCAGUAGGGAAUCUUCGGCAAUGGACGGAAGUCUGACCGAGCAACGCCGCGUGAGUGAAGAAGGUUUUCGGAUCGUAAAGCUCUGUUGUAAGAGAAGAACGAGUGUGAGAGUGGAAAGUUCACACUGUGACGGUAUCUUACCAGAAAGGGACGGCUAACUACGUG
This 495-nucleotide ribosomal RNA is filed under the name uncultured bacterium. Its description in RNAcentral is "partial 16S ribosomal RNA". It matches the Rfam family "Bacterial small subunit ribosomal RNA", at positions 28 to 507 of the family's 1533-position model. The record is from RNAcentral.